GUGUCAGCCGCCGCGGUAAUACGUAGGGUGCGAGCGUUGUCCGGAAUUAUUGGGCGUAAAGAGCUCGUAGGCGGUUUGUUGCGUCGGCUGUGAAAACUCGGGGCUCAACUCCGAGCUUGCAGCCGAUACGGGCAGACUUGAGUUCGGCAGGGGAGACUGGAAUUCCUGGUGUAGCGGUGAAAUGCGCAGAUAUCAGGAGGAACACCGGUGGCGAAGGCGGGUCUCUGGGCCGAUACUGACGCUGAGGAGCGAAAGCGUGGGGAGCGAACAGGAUUAGAUACCCUGGUAGUCC
Molecule: ribosomal RNA, 292 nt
Filed under: uncultured bacterium
Lineage: Bacteria
Description: partial 16S ribosomal RNA
Rfam family: Bacterial small subunit ribosomal RNA
Source: RNAcentral